Molecule: ribosomal RNA, 374 nt
Filed under: uncultured bacterium
Lineage: Bacteria
Description: bacterial SSU rRNA
Rfam family: Bacterial small subunit ribosomal RNA
Source: RNAcentral
UAAGACGAACCGUGCGAACGUUGUUCGGAAUCACUGGGCUUAAAGGGCGCGUAGGCGGGCGGCCACGUCUGGGGUGAAAGCCCCCGGCUUAACCGGGGAAUCGCCCCCGAUACGGGCCGCCUCGAGGGGGGUAGGGGCGCGCGGAACUUCCGGUGGAGCGGUGAAAUGUGUUGAGAUCGGAAGGAACGCCGGCGGCGAAAGCGGCGCGCUGGGCCCACCCUGACGCUGAGGCGCGAAAGCCAGGGGAGCGAACGGGAUUAGAUACCCCGGUAGUCCUGGCCCUAAACGAUGGGUACCGGGUAGGGGGCCGGCCUGGCCCCCUGCCGGAGCGAAAGCGUUCAGUACCCCGCCUGGGGAGUAUGGCCGCAAGGCUG